This 77-nucleotide transfer RNA is filed under the name Bacteriophage sp. RNAcentral describes it as "tRNA-Arg". It matches the Rfam family "tRNA". From Rfam's summary of the family: Transfer RNA (tRNA) molecules are approximately 80 nucleotides in length. Their secondary structure includes four short double-helical elements and three loops (D, anti-codon, and T loops). Further hydrogen bonds mediate the characteristic L-shaped molecular structure. tRNAs have two regions of fundamental functional importance: the anti-codon, which is responsible for specific mRNA codon recognition, and the 3' end, to which the tRNAs corresponding amino acid is attached (by aminoacyl-tRNA synthetases). tRNAs cope with the degeneracy of the genetic code in two manners: having more than one tRNA (with a specific anti-codon) for a particular amino acid; and 'wobble' base-pairing, i.e. permitting non-standard base-pairing at the 3rd anti-codon position. The record is from RNAcentral.
CUCCUUGUAACUCAGUUGGAUAGAGUAUCUGCCUUCUAAGCAGAUGGUCACAGGUUCGAAUCCUGUCAGGGAGGCCA